Molecule: ribosomal RNA, 437 nt
Filed under: uncultured bacterium
Lineage: Bacteria
Description: bacterial SSU rRNA
Rfam family: Bacterial small subunit ribosomal RNA
Source: RNAcentral
CGAACGCUGGCGGCAUGCCUAACACAUGCAAGUCGAACGAAGGCUUCGGCCUUAGUGGCGCACGGGUGCGUAACGCGUGGGGAUCUGCCCUUUGCUUCGGAAUAACAGUUAGAAGUGACUGCUAAUACCGGAUGAUGUCGUAAGACCAAAGAUUUAUCGGCAAAGGAUGAACCCGCGUAGGAUUAGGUAGUUGGUGGGGUAAAGGCCUACCAAGCCGACGAUCCUUAGCUGGUCUGAGAGGAUGAUCAGCCACACUGGGACUGAGACACGGCCCAGACUCCUACGGGAGGCAGCAGUGGGGAAUAUUGGACAAUGGGCGAAAGCCUGAUCCAGCAAUGCCGCGUGAGUGAUGAAGGCCUUAGGGUUGUAAAGCUCUUUUACCAGGGAUGAUAAUGACAGUACCUGGAGAAUAAGCUCCGGCUAACUCCGUGCCAGCA